CGUGUAGGCGGUAUGGCAAGCGGUGUGUGAAAUCCCGGGGCUCAACCCCGGAACUGCACACCGAACUGCCGUACUAGAGGACAGGAGGGGGAUGUGGAACUCUAGGUGUAGCGGUGAAAUGCGUAGAUAUCUAGAGGAACGCCGGUGGCGAAAGCGACAUCCUGGCCUGUAUCUGACGCUGAGGCGCGAAAGCGUGGGUAGCAAACAGGAUUAGAUACCCUGGUAGUCC
Molecule: ribosomal RNA, 229 nt
Filed under: uncultured bacterium
Lineage: Bacteria
Description: partial 16S ribosomal RNA
Rfam family: Bacterial small subunit ribosomal RNA
Source: RNAcentral